Molecule: long non-coding RNA, 831 nt
Organism: Mastomys coucha (southern multimammate mouse)
Lineage: Eukaryota; Metazoa; Chordata; Mammalia; Rodentia; Muridae
Exons: 2
Source: RefSeq, a predicted model, not a curated record
UUAGGCUAAAGCGCUCGUACUGUCUCCGCGGUCUACCUCCCUCCCUCCCCUGCGGGCUGUGGGGCAAGUUUCCGAACGUGGGUGCAGGCUGUCUGCGGUCAUCACUCCCUUCCCGCCUAGGGGCGCGGCCCGCUCUGUCUGUUUCCUCCGGUAGCUCUGCUGAGUCUCAACUCGGAUGCUUCUGCCUCCACCUUCCAAGUGCUGGGAUGGAAGGCGUACGUCAACACGUCCUUCUUACACACCCACUUUUGAUUGCUCGCCUUUCCACUUGGCUCUUGCUGUUCUCUCUGUCCCCACAUUUAUCUGUACGUGCAUUCAUUAGACUUUGAGCCAGUGAGUGCUGGAGUUGGCGGUGUCCCACACGGUGCCAGACGGAAGUUACAGCGAUGAGUAGGGUACUAAGGACACUGCUUGUACGGGGCUCACGGGCUAGCCUGCGGCGACUGGUUGGAGAGAUGUUUUUGCAAGGUCCCUCUUGGCUGCAGUGUGGAUUGUUUGAGAAGAAGGUGUUGGGCUAGCAGGAAAAGGGUAGACCUGCGGUGAGGAUGAAUUCAAAGUUUGAAUGACUGCCAGAACCUUACUAGUUUCACGUGCCCUUUUGUGAAAAGGGAAGGGGGGCGGUUUAGGGAGACUGCUCAGCAGUUAGGUGCAUGUACAGCUCUUCCGGAAGAUCCGAGUUUAGAUUCCGAGCAUCCUAACAGGCUAACUGUCUAUGACCCUAGCCACCAGGGGAUCCAACACCCUCUUCUUGCCUUCGUGGGCACUUGCACUUAUAUGUAUCAAUCCACGCACAGAAACACACACAUUUACAAAAUAAAAUCUUAAAGAAUA